This 253-nucleotide ribosomal RNA is filed under the name uncultured bacterium. Its description in RNAcentral is "partial 16S ribosomal RNA". It matches the Rfam family "Bacterial small subunit ribosomal RNA", at positions 524 to 776 of the family's 1533-position model. The record is from RNAcentral.
UACGUAGGGGGCCAGCGUUGUUCGGAAUUACUGGGUGUAAAGGGUCAGUCGGCGGUGCGGCAAGUCGGGAGUGAAAUCUCUGGGCUUAACCCAGAGGCUGCUUCCGAAACUGCUGUGCUUGAGUGUGGGAGAGGCGCGUGGAAUUGCAGGUGUAGCGGUGAAAUGCGUAGAUAUCUGCAGGAACACCCGUGGCGAAAGCGGCGCGCUGGACCACAACUGACGCUGAAUGACGAAAGCUAGGGGAGCAAACAGG